RNAcentral lists this non-coding RNA (31 nucleotides) under Rattus norvegicus (Norway rat). The record is from RNAcentral. Lineage: Eukaryota; Metazoa; Chordata; Mammalia; Rodentia; Muridae.
UGGGAGUGCUCUUCUGAACCCAGAAGGCCAU